CGAGGGAAAGUUGAAAAGGACUUUGAAGAGAGAGUUCAAGAGUACGUGAAACUGCUCAGAGGUAAACGGGUGGACCCACGAGGUGACAUUGCCGGAGAGGCUCAGUCGGAACGAACGCGGGAGUGUGCUGCGACUCCGAAGAGAGCGCGAAAGACUCGCCCGGCGUUCGUACGACGCAUUUCUCUCUGCAACGUGGAUGCCGCAACCGGUUGGAAAGCAGUCGGCCUAGAGGUCGUUCGAAGGUAGGUGGCGGAGGGUUUCGCUUCCCGCGUUGUUCCUCCGUUUUGGCCUGUUCGACCGGGCGCGACGUCCGACCGAGGUUCUCUUUCCACCCCUCUYGCCUAGCGAGUGGGACGCUUUUCGGGUGCUUUGCGUGGCAGACGUCGUCUCACUGAUUCCAGUGACCGAUUCUUCGGUGGCACCGCAGAGCGUUCUAAGCGGAGGGUUCCGGAAGGUUGGCGGCAAUACUGUCGGUAACCCACCCGACCCGUCUUGAAACACGGACCAAGGAGUCUAACAUGUGCGCGAGUCGGCGGGUCUCGAGUAAUCCCGCAGGCGCAAUGAAAGUGAGAGUCGAGAUCCCGACCGGCUAACGCCGAGGGCGCAUCGACCACCCGCUCGUUCCGGAGUCCCGGUAGAGCGGAGCAAGAGCGUACACGUUGGGACCCGAAAGAUGGUGAACUAUGCCCGGGCAGGACGAAGCCAGGGGAAACCCUGGUGGAGGUUCGCAGCGGUUCUGACGUGCAAUCGAUCGUCGGACC
RNAcentral lists this ribosomal RNA (761 nucleotides) under Smeringopina kala. RNAcentral's name for it is "partial 28S ribosomal RNA". The record is from RNAcentral. Lineage: Eukaryota; Metazoa; Arthropoda; Arachnida; Araneae; Pholcidae.